Molecule: ribosomal RNA, 459 nt
Filed under: uncultured bacterium
Lineage: Bacteria
Description: bacterial SSU rRNA
Rfam family: Bacterial small subunit ribosomal RNA
Source: RNAcentral
AAUGAACGCUGGCGGCGUGCUUUACACAUGCAAGUCGAGCGAGGCGUGGGGCAGCCCACAGUCGAGCGGCGGACGGGUGAGUAACGCGUGGAUUAUCUACCCUGAGGUGGGGAACAACCAGGGGAAACUCUGGCUAAUACCGCAUGAUACCGAGAGGUCAAAGGGGGCUCGCAAGAGCUCUCGCCACAGGAGGAGUCCGCGUUCGAUUAGCUAGUUGGUAGGGUAAUGGCCUACCAAGGCGACGAUCGAUAGCCGGCCUGAGAGGGUGAUCGGCCACACUGGAACUGAGACACGGGUCCAGACUCCUACGGGAGGCAGCAGUGGGAAUUUUUGCGCAAUGGGCUAACGCCUGACGCAGCAACGCCGCGUGGAGGAUGAAGGUCCUUGGGAUUGUAAACUCCUGUCGACCGGGAAAAAGCAACUCGACCUAAUACGUCGGGAAGUUGAUUGUACCGGUGG